AUGUGUGAUUUACUUGAAGACGAUGACCUUAUAAAAUGUCAACUGCCUAACAAACUAAGUAGCAUAAUUUAUAAAAAAAGAAAAAAUCGAAAUAAAAAAAUGCAUAUUUUAAAUAAUGAAAAACAUAUCAUUUUACCAUCACACAAAAUUUCAAAUGAAUAUAAAAAAAACAUCGAUCAUAUUAAUUAUAAUUAUGAAGAGUUGCAUGUAUAUAUGGAAAUAAAUACUGGAAGUGUCAAUGAAAAAAAAAAUCAACAAGGUAUCAGUCAUUUAUGUGAACAUGUAUCUUAUAUGGGAUCAAAGAAUAGAAAAAAUAUAUUAGAUAAAAACAUCCGAACUAAUGCAUACACCGAUUUUCAUCAUAUCGUUUUUUAUAUAAGUGUAAGUAUGAACAACGAAAUAUAUAAAGAUUAUAUGCUUAAUGACUUCAAGUGUGAUAAUAAAGUUGAAAAUAUUAAAGAAGAAAAUAUUGAAGAUUAUGAUAUUUAUACACUUGACGAGUUUAAUUAUAAACACGACAUUUUAUCGAAAUGUAUUGAUACAAUGGUUGAAGUGUUAAAAGGAGAUACACAAUUUACCAAAGAAAGAAUAACAAAAGAAAAAAAAGCUAUUUUUUCGGAAUAUAGUAUUAUUAACACAGUAGAAUAUAAAAUAAAUUCAGACAUUAUUAAAACGUUGCACAGAGAAAAUAGAUUAAGCCACAGAUUACCAAUUGGCAAACUCGAACUUCUAAAACGAUACGAAGAGAAAGACGUAAAAGAAUACUUUGAUUUAUUUUUUCGUCCGGAAAAUGCAAAUAUAUAUGUGUAUGGUGAUGUGAACACAGACAUUACACAAAGUUUAAUAAAUAACAAGUUUAAAAAUAUAAUAAAAAAAAAAUUAACAAAAGAUGAUCAAAUAUAUAUGGAUAUUUUAACAGAAAAUACUUUAAGGAGUACAAAUAAAAAUUUGCCAGCUGUUGUUCAUAAGUUUAGUGACAAUUUGUUGGAUAAAACUGCAAAUAUUUGUAAUAAUGGAAGUAAUAUUACAUCCGAAAUGGAGAUAAAAGAAUCUAACUGUUUUAACACUGACCAGAAUAAAUCAAAUGAGUCAGCAAAUCUGGUCAACUUAAUUCAACCAACCUUUUUACAUGACCCACCCGAACCCCCUUGUGAAUAUAUAGAUGAUAAUAUUGUCGAUAGUGAAAAAUUUAAAGAGUUAACAAAAAAUCCUGACCCAAUUAUAAAUGAAUUAAAAUUCAGAUCUUAUUUAGAAAAAAAAUAUGCUGUUAAUUUAGAAGAAGAAAAAAGCUUAAAUAAGUCAAACAUAAAAAAUAACGAAACCCUUUUUGAAAUUUUUAAUUAUGCAUUAAACAAUGUUACUAUCAACAUUUUAGCAAAAGAAAAAAUAAAAGGAAUUAAAACAAUGCAAGAUUUAAAAAUUUCGAUUAUAAAAGACAUUAUAUUUUAUUGUUUAUCUUUUAGGUUCAAUAUCCAAAGACAACAUCUGUUUAACAAUAUCGACAUAAAUGAAUAUACUAACAUAAAUGAAGGUGCAACUAUAAAAACUAUAGAAAUUAAAACAAAUGUACAAACUUUUGAUAAAACAAUUCAAAUGUUUUAUAAUUUUAUUAAAAGUUUAAUGCAAUAUGGGUUUAGUAAUGAUGAGUUGGAAAAUUAUAAAAUUAAUAAAAUGUAUGAUGAUUUGUGCGAGGAUAGUUACACCGAUGUUGUGGAAACGGGUUCUACAUCUGGGAGUGAUACAACUACUACUACUACUACUACUACUACUACUGCAACUACUACCACUACUACUACCAAUACUACUAUCACACCCCACAGUGGUAAAAAUAGUAAAUUGAUCCACCCCGAAAAAGAAGACGAAUUUAUACAGGACAAUAAAAUAAACGAAACGUAUGCUGAUGAAAUACAAAAAAUAAUCGAUUAUAAUUCAUGUAAGCAUAUUUAUAUGAAUGAAAAAAGAGAAAAAAUAAUAAGAAAACAAAUAUUUAAUAAUUUAACAAUCGAAGAAAUUAAUUUAUUUGCUAAGAAUUAUUUCAAAUAUUUAUUUAAUGUAUUUACUCAAAAUACAAAUUUUAAACCAAAUUGUAUUAUUGUUCAUGUACCUAAUGAAUCUUCUCACUUAUUUGAUAAACAAAAAAUCAAAAAAUUGUUUUAUAAUAAUAUAUAUUCAACUGAACAUGUUCCUGACUAUUCUUUUAGUAUUCAAAAUAAAUUAUUAUCAGAUAAUUACAUUUUUGAAAAUAUAACAAAAAAUGUGAAUCAAUCCAAAUAUAUAAACAACAAAAAUAGAAGUGCUAAUCUUAAUAAUAGCAAAACUAUUUUUGAUUAUAUCUUUCACAAAUUAGAAAAUAUAAAAAAUAACAACACAUUGACACAGUUGAGUUAUGGUAGAGAUAGUAGUACUACCGAAGGAUAUAGCCCCUAUAGCGACAAUAACAUUUUAUGUUCUAUUCACGAUUUAAAUACAAUUCCUAACUUUAAUUUUUUUCAAAAUUGUUAUAAUAUAAAUAAUAUACAACUAAAAAACGAACUAGGUGAUCAUACAGAACACAUAACUGAUAGAACAGAAUUAUAUUCGUUAAAACGGGGGGAGCAAAAUGAAAAAUAUUUAAAAUUGAAAAAAAAAAAAAAAGACAUAAACGGGUAUGACAGGCUAUAUACAGAUACAGAAAGGUCAUCUAAUAUGGAUAAGGAGUUAACCAAUACUUUUACAGAUGCACCGCAUAAUACUUUUACAGACGUACCACAUAAUACUUUUACAGACGUACCNNNNNNNNNNACCAUACUACACAUCCCCGACGCAACAACAAAUCCAAAACUUCGAAUUAUUAAACGGAAUAAAAAUAAAUAUAUACAAAACCCAAAUCGAUAA
This is a long non-coding RNA of Piliocolobus tephrosceles (Ugandan red Colobus), 2874 nucleotides long. The record is from Ensembl. NCBI's taxonomy places the organism in Eukaryota, Metazoa, Chordata, Mammalia, Primates, Cercopithecidae.